Molecule: ribosomal RNA, 465 nt
Filed under: Clostridioides difficile
Lineage: Bacteria; Bacillati; Bacillota; Clostridia; Peptostreptococcales; Peptostreptococcaceae
Description: bacterial SSU rRNA
Rfam family: Bacterial small subunit ribosomal RNA
Source: RNAcentral
CCUACGGGGGGCUGCAGUAGGGAAUCUUCCACAAUGGACGCAAGUCUGAUGGAGCAACGCCGCGUGAGUGAAGAAGGGUUUCGGCUCGUAAAGCUCUGUUGGUAGUGAAGAAAGAUAGAGGUAGUAACUGGCCUUUAUUUGACGGUAAUUACUUAGAAAGUCACGGCUAACUACGUGCCAGCAGCCGCGGUAAUACGUAGGUGGCAAGCGUUGUCCGGAUUUAUUGGGCGUAAAGCGAGUGCAGGCGGUUCAAUAAGUCUGAUGUGAAAGCCUUCGGCUCAACCGGAGAAUUGCAUCAGAAACUGUUGAACUUGAGUGCAGAAGAGGAGAGUGGAACUCCAUGUGUAGCGGUGGAAUGCGUAGAUAUAUGGAAGAACACCAGUGGCGAAGGCGGCUCUCUGGUCUGCAACUGACGCUGAGGCUCGAAAGCAUGGGUAGCGAACAGGAUUAGAUACCCCUGUAGUC